UUUCCGAAAGAUUUCAUAAUUUUUAUGAAAGAGUAUUAUAAUUUUUAUGAAGGGAUGUCGUAAUUUUAUCAAAGAGAUGUGUCAUGAUUUUUACGAAAGAAUAUCAUAAUUCUAUGAAGGAAUAUCAUGAUUUUUUUCAGAAGAAAAGAAGUAUCAUAAUUUUUUUGUGAAGAGAUAUUAUAAAUUUUAAGGAGGAGUGUCAUAAUUUUUAAGAACAUCAUUUUCAUCGUUCAAAAUUUUAAAUAAAAAAAUAGAAUUACGAAUAUUAAAUAUGCAUUAGAAAGUGAUAACUACGUGAUCUAAUAAGGCGAAGUGGUGCGCUCCAUGUCAGAUGUUCUAUACCAUGGGCAG
This 351-nucleotide long non-coding RNA is filed under the name Elaeis guineensis (African oil palm). RNAcentral describes it as "long non-coding RNA (EGUI_LNC021040)". The record is from RNAcentral. Lineage: Eukaryota; Viridiplantae; Streptophyta; Magnoliopsida; Arecales; Arecaceae.